Molecule: unclassified non-coding RNA, 364 nt
Filed under: Hevea brasiliensis (rubber tree)
Lineage: Eukaryota; Viridiplantae; Streptophyta; Magnoliopsida; Malpighiales; Euphorbiaceae
Source: RNAcentral
CAAGUAUUGAGGAGUAUGUUAUAAGAUCAUAUUCAAAAGCAUUGGUACGCAUCUCUUUCAUCAGUCUUGCAGCUUCCUCGAACAUGCCAGCACGACUUAGGCAACCAAGAAUGGUGUUGUAAGAGACAGCAUCAGGCUUAAUUGUUGAAUGUUUCAUUUUUGUAAACAUCUCGAUCGCUCGCUGAGGGUCACCAGUCUUGGACAAACCAUUUAGUAUUAUGUUAAAUGAGUUCAAGUCGGGAGCACAACCAUUUUCUUCCAUACUACGAAACAUGGAAAAAGCCUCAUCUAGCAUACCUGACCUCACCAGUCCGGACAUGAGUGCAUUAUGUGCAUAUACAUCAGGAGAACAUCCCAGCUUUUG